AGAGUUCGAUUAUGGCUCAGGACGAACGCUGGCGGUGCGCCUUAUGCAUGCAAGUCGAGCGAAGCUUUUCAGUAGUUUACUACAGAAAAUGACUGAGCGGCGAACGGGUGAGUAACGCGUGAGCAACCUACCUUAGUUACUGGGAUAGCCCGAGGAAACUCGGAUUAAUACCGGAUAUUCUUAUUUAAUCACAUGAUUUUUUAAGGAAAGGUCAGCCGAACUAAGAUGGGCUCGCGUUCUAUCAGCUAGUUGGUAGGGUAAUGGCCUACCAAGGCUACGACGGAUAGCUGGUCUGAGAGGACGAUCAGCCACACUGGGACUGAGACACGGCCCAGACUCCUACGGGAGGCUGCAGCAGGGAAUAUUGCGCAAUGAGCGAAAGCUUGACGCAGCGACACCGCGUGUGGGAUGACGGAUCUAGGUUUGUAAACCACUUUCAGGAGGGAAGAAAAUGACGGUACCUCCACAAGAAGCCCCGGCCAACUACGUGCCAGCAGCCGCGGUAAUAC
Molecule: ribosomal RNA, 509 nt
Filed under: uncultured bacterium
Lineage: Bacteria
Description: bacterial SSU rRNA
Rfam family: Bacterial small subunit ribosomal RNA
Source: RNAcentral